Molecule: ribosomal RNA, 253 nt
Filed under: uncultured bacterium
Lineage: Bacteria
Description: partial 16S ribosomal RNA
Rfam family: Bacterial small subunit ribosomal RNA
Source: RNAcentral
UACGUAGGGUGCAAGCGUUGUCCGGAAUUAUUGGGCGUAAAGAGCUCGUAGGCGGUCUGUCGCGUCUGCUGUGAAAACUCAGGGCUUAACCCUGAGCUUGCAGUGGGUACGGGCAGACUAGAGUGCGGUAGGGGAGACUGGAAUUCCUGGUGUAGCGGUGAAAUGCGCAGAUAUCAGGAGGAACACCGGUGGCGAAGGCGGGUCUCUGGGCCGACACUGACACUGAGAGACGAAAGCUAGGGGAGCAAAUGGG